Molecule: non-coding RNA, 97 nt
Filed under: bovine gut metagenome
Source: RNAcentral
ACCCCAGGGGGAGCUAGGAAUUGGCCUGGCUGAGAGGUGGCACCGCAAAUGCCACGACCCGAAGAACCUGAUCCGGAUAAUGCCGGCGUAGGAAGUA